Molecule: ribosomal RNA, 450 nt
Filed under: uncultured bacterium
Lineage: Bacteria
Description: partial 16S ribosomal RNA
Rfam family: Bacterial small subunit ribosomal RNA
Source: RNAcentral
GUGGGGAAUAUUCCGCAAUGGACGAAAGUCUGACGGAGCAACGCCGCGUGAGUGAUGAAGGUUUUCGGACUGUAAAGCUCUGUUGUUUAGGACGAAAGUGCCUGUUGCGAACAGUUACAGGUAUUGACGGUACUGAACGAGGAAGCCACGGCUAACUACGUGCCAGCAGCCGCGGUAAUACGUAGGUGGCAAGCGUUGUCCGGAAUUAUUGGGCGUAAAGAGCAUGUAGGCGGGAAUCUAAGUCUGUUGUGAAAAGGCGGGGCUCAACCCCGUAUGGCGAUGGAAACUGGAUUUCUUGAGUGCAGGAGAGGAAAGGGGAAUUCCCAGUGUAGCGGUGAAAUGCGUAGAUAUUGGGAGGAACACCAGUGGCGAAGGCGCCUUUCUGGACUGUGUCUGACGCUGAGAUGCGAAAGCCAGGGUAGCGAACGGGAUUAGAUACCCGAGUAGUCC